AUGAAGAAAUGAUAUCUCUCAAAGAAGGCAAAGUCCACUCUCCUCCCCAUUGCAAUGGCCUUAGUUGCCAUUCUCUCGGGUGGAGAGGGCUGUGGAGGAGGAGAGGUCUCCAUACUUUGAUCCUCCACCUCAUUCAGCUCAUUUUCAUCAGGUUGAAUAGUAGGUUGGGAUGACUCGAUCACUUAAGAUGUUGAUUGAUCCAACCGGGCUUUCUUCCUCUGUUCUUGCUAUUCGAUGCUUUGACUCGAAAGAGUUCUCCAUCCGAUGUGCCUUGUCCGCACCAUCUCACUCAAAUCGGCCAU
RNAcentral lists this long non-coding RNA (302 nucleotides) under Elaeis guineensis (African oil palm). Its description in RNAcentral is "long non-coding RNA (EGUI_LNC034272)". The record is from RNAcentral. Lineage: Eukaryota; Viridiplantae; Streptophyta; Magnoliopsida; Arecales; Arecaceae.